RNAcentral lists this ribosomal RNA (486 nucleotides) under uncultured bacterium. Its description in RNAcentral is "partial 16S ribosomal RNA". It matches the Rfam family "Bacterial small subunit ribosomal RNA", at positions 28 to 507 of the family's 1533-position model. The record is from RNAcentral.
GACGAACGCUGGCGGCGUGCUUAACACAUGCAAGUCGAACGCUGAAGUCCUGGCUUUUGUUGGGUUGGGUGAGUGGCGAACGGGUGAGUAACACGUGAGUAACCUGCCCUCUUCUUUGGGAUAACGCCCGGAAACGGGUGCUAAUACUGGAUAUUCACUGAUCUUCGCAUGGGGGAUGGUGGAAGGGUUUGUUCUGGUGGGGGAUGGGCUCGCGGCCUAGCAGCUUGGUGGUGGGGUGAUGGCCUACCUAGGGUGUGACGGGUAGCCGGCCUGGGUGGGUGACCCGUGACAUUGGGCCCGGGACACGGUCCAGACGGCUACGGGAGUCAGCAGUGGGGAAUAAUGCACGAUGGGCGAACGCCUGAUGCAGCGACGCGGCGUGAGGGAUGGAGGCCCUCGGGUUGUAAACCUCUUUCGCGCAUGGUCAAGCCGCAACUGUGGGUUGUGGUGAGGGUAGUGGGUAAAGAAGCGCCGGCUAACUACGUG